Brachypodium distachyon (stiff brome) is the source of this 116-nucleotide non-coding RNA. The record is from Rfam. NCBI's taxonomy places the organism in Eukaryota, Viridiplantae, Streptophyta, Magnoliopsida, Poales, Poaceae.
UAGGGUACCCUUUGACAUUUCUUAGUUUAACGAAAUGAACUAAAAUUUCAGAAUGACACAACUUUUUGAAAAACUAGUUCAUUUGUUUGAACUAAGAAAGGUCAAAGGGUACUCUA